AGAGCACAGGGUGGAUGCCCAGGCACCAAACGCCGAUGAAAGACGUGGCAAGCUGCGAAAAGUCACGGGGAACCGCAAGCAGGUAUUGAUCCGUGAACGUCUGAAUGGGGAAACCCGGCGGGUUAACAGCCCGUCACUAUUAACUGAAUCAAUAGGUUAAUAGGGGGAACGCGGGGAACUGAAACAUCUCAGUACCCGUAGGAAGAGAAAAUAAAGAAUGAUUUCCUAAGUAGCGGCGAGCGAACGGGAAAGAGGCCAAACCGAAGGGCUUGCUCUUCGGGGUUGUGGAUCAGCGAUAAGGACGGAAGACCUUAGCAGAAGAGGAUUGGAAAGUCCCGCCAGAGAGGGUAAAAGCCCCUUACGCGAAAAGGUCAAACGACGAGCUGACACCAGAGUACCGCAGGACACGAGAAAUCCGGUGGGAAGCCGGGAGGACCACCUCCCAAGCCUAAAUACGAAUUGGUGACCGAUAGCGCAUAGUACCGUGAGGGAAAGGUGAAAAGAACCCCGGGAGGGGAGUGAAAAAGAACCUGAAACCCUGUGUUUACAAGCAGUGAAAGUGCAAGCAAGGCACGAUCACGUACUUUUUGUAGAACGGACCGGCGAGUUACGUUAUGCAGCAAGGUUAAGAACUGAAGGUUCGGAGCCGAAGCGAAAGCGAGUCUGAAUAGGGCGAUAGUUGCAUGACGUAGACCCGAAACCGGGUGACCUAUCCAUGAGCAGGUUGAAGUGGAGGUAAAGCUCCAUGGAGGACCGAACCAGACGUCUGUUGAAAAAGGCGGGGAUGACUUGUGGAUAGGGGAGAAAUUCCAAUCGAACCCGGAGAUAGCUGGUUCUCCUCGAAAUAGCUUUAGGGCUAGCCUCAUGGAUCAUUGGUGGGGGUAGAGCACUGAAUGUGCGCGGGGGCCACAAAGCCUACCAAACGCUAUCAAACUUCGAAUACCAUACAAUGCAGACCAUGGGAGUCAGUCCGCGAGAGAUAAGUUCCGCGGGCAAAAGGGGAACACCCCAGAUCAACCGCUAAGGUCCCAAAGUUCACGUUAAGUGGAGAAGGAUGUGGAAUUGCACAGACAACCAGGAUGUUGGCUCAGAAGCAGCCACACAUUUAAAGAGUGCGUAAUAGCUCACUGGUCGAGUGAUUGUGCGCCGAAGAUGUCCGGGGCUAAACGUGACACCGAAGCGAUGGGUGCAUCUGAAAGGAUGCGCGGUAGAGGAGCAAUGUGCAGAGGCAGAAGCCGUAUCGAGAGGCACGGUGGACACUGCACAAGAGAGAAUGCCGGUAUGAGUAGCGAGAGGCAUGCGAGAAACAUGCCCGUCGAAAGCCCAAGGUUUCCUGGGGAAGGUUCAUCCGCCCAGGGUAAGUCGGGGCCUAAGCCGAGGACGGAAGUCGUAGGCGAUGGACAGCAGGUGUAGAUUCCUGCACUACCGAUGGAAUGAAGCAGUGACACAGAAGGAUAACUCGAGCAGGGUGAUGGUCAACCCUGUGCAAGCAUCAAGGUUGGGUUGUAGUGAAGUACGCAACCCUACAAGCUGAGGUGUGAUGCGGACCGAAAUUUCAGUAGGGAAGCGAGUGAGUUCACGCUGGCGAGAAAAGCUGCUAGUAUAUCCAAAGGUACCCGUACCGGAAACCGACGCAGGUGGGCGAGGAGAGAAUCCUGAGACGAACGGGAGAACCCUUGUUAAGGAACUCGGCAAAAUGACCCCGUAACUUCGGGAUAAGGGGUGCCUGCGAGAGCAGGCCGCAGAGAAUAGUCACAAGCGACUGUUUAGCAAAAACACAGGUAUCUGCGAAAGCGAGAGCUGACGUAUAGGUGCUGACACCUGCCCGGUGCUGGAAGGUUAAGGGAACAUGUUAGAGCAAUCGAAGCAUCGAACCGAAGCCCCAGUAAACGGCGGCCGUAACUAUAACGGUCCUAAGGUAGCGAAAUUCCUUGUCGGGUAAGUUCCGACCCGCACGAAUGGUGUAACGACUUGUGAGCUGUCUCAACAGGGGGCCCGGUGAAAUUGAAGUAUGGGUGAAGAUGCCCAUUACCCGCGACUGGACGGAAAGACCCCGUAGAGCUUUACUGCAGCCUGAUAUUGAGUUUCGGUAACUGAUGCACAGGAUAGGUGGGAGUCUGAGAGACAUGGGUUUCGGCUCAUGUGGAGACGGUGUUGGGAUACCACUCUUCGGUUACUGAAAUUCUAACAUAGCUCUGUGAAACCAGAGGAUGGACAGUGUCAGGUGGACAGUUUGACUGGGGCGGUCGCCUCCGAAAGAGUAACGGAGGCGCCCAAAGGUACCCUCAGAAUGGAUGGAAACCAUUCGAAGA
This 2312-nucleotide ribosomal RNA is filed under the name human metagenome. Its description in RNAcentral is "bacterial LSU rRNA". It matches the Rfam family "Bacterial large subunit ribosomal RNA", at positions 14 to 2348 of the family's 2925-position model. The record is from RNAcentral.